AGUGAACGCUGGCGGUAGGCCUAACACAUGCAAGUCGAACGGCAGCACAGUAAGAGCUUGCUCUUACGGGUGGCGAGUGGCGGACGGGUGAGGAAUACAUCGGAAUCUACUUUUUCGUGGGGGAUAACGUAGGGAAACUUACGCUAAUACCGCAUACGACCUACGGGUGACAGCAGGGGAUCUUCGGACCUUGCGCGAUUGAAUGAGCCGAUGUCGGAUUAGCUAGUUGGCGGGGUAAAGGCCCACCAAGGCGACGAUCCGUAGCUGGUCUGAGAGGAUGAUCAGCCACACUGGAACGGAGACACGGUCCAGACUCCUACGGGAGGCAGCAGUGGGGAAUAUUGGACAAUGGGCGCAAGCCUGAUCCAGCCAGACCGCGUGGGUGAAGAAGGCCUUCGGGUUGUAAAGCCCUUUUGUUGGGAAAGAAAAGCAGCAGGUUAAGACCCCGCUGUUCUGACGGUACCCAAAGAAUAAGCACCGGCUAACUUCGUG
This 492-nucleotide ribosomal RNA is filed under the name uncultured bacterium. RNAcentral describes it as "partial 16S ribosomal RNA". It matches the Rfam family "Bacterial small subunit ribosomal RNA", at positions 29 to 507 of the family's 1533-position model. The record is from RNAcentral.